AGACAAUUAUGUGAAGCUUGAGAAAGAAAAGGUUUUAAUUUGACACAAGGAAAUGCUUUAAAAUUAGUAUUUUCCUGAUGGUGUAAAUUGAGGGGAUAGAAUCCACUAAUAGAUCUCUCACUAAUGAAAAAUACUUUUUAUCUAGAUUCCAAGCUUUAUUUUGUCACUUUAUUUUGUCACUGCUUUGACAGUCUGUGAUGUCUAUAAGUGCUUUUCUGAUAUUCUCAUGUAUUGAAUGAACCUGACGUUCAUUAACUAGCUUUUGGCUUUUGAGUUUGCUUCCAGCUUAAUUAAUGUAUUUAGGCAGUUAGCAGCUACAUUUACAUGAAAAUGAGAGUAUAACCAGCAGAACAUCUACUGAUCUUUUCUUGUGUAUAUAUAGAAAUAUACUUGGAAUAAACACGGUCAGUACAAAGAUCCAAGCAAAAAUUUCUGUAUUUAGGGUAAAAUAAAGAGAACAAGUACAUAUAAAAUACAAAUAAUUGAACAAGUCACUUGAAGAAAUGUGGCAAUCAUGUAUGUUGUGAGAAUUUCCCUUUGAUUUGUUUUUGUGCCAUUUGGAUUAGACAUUUCAAUACUGUAAUGCUUUUCCAGCUUGUAGUUAAUUAGAUAUGGUUGGUUAGAAGAUACCAGAAAAGCACUUUGUUUAGUGUCACCAUGUUCUUAGAGCUAGCAUAGAGCCAAAACUUGCCAAAAGUCCUGGAAUCAGCCUGCAAGUGCUGAUAAACUUUCUCAGAAAGGGAUUGCGUGUCAGAUACAGCACAGAAUUACAAAAUUAAAUUUCUGUGCAGGGUGCACAGUGCAGCAAUAUGGGAAAGGGCUUGGAGCCUAUGCAUGAGGGUGACACACUGGUUUGUGUGGGUGUUUAUCACUGAAAGGGUUGUCAGAGCCUCUCACCAACAGGAGGAAAGAAAUAGAUCAGAGAGACCACACACAGACCAAGCUGGCAUGAGGAAUAGGUUCGAUUUUCAAGCCUUUCUCCACAUCUACUUUAGAUUAUUCAUACAUCCAGUUAAUCUGGUUUUUUUCUGCCUCAUAUUAGUGAAUAAUUUGCUUACAUGAGGAGCUAUUCGAUGUCUAAAAAUAAGCCAAGCUUGACGGCCCUAAACUAAAGGACAAUACUAUGGAAGCUUUUUCAGAAAAUGAGGUGUUGCAUAAAAUAAGGGAUUUUUUAAUGAAUUAUUCUUAAAAUUAGGAUCUGCAGGCUCAAGCAAUUUCACAUCACAGGCUUCACCUGCUAAGUAAACAAUUUUUAUAUCAAAAUAUGUACCUUAAAAGGCAUAAGACAUUUCUGGUUGUGUACCGAUGAAAUGCAUCUUUUGACAUAAAUAACUGGGAGAAGACAUUCUAUAAAUAAAAAUGGGCAAGGAAACAUUUCUGUUUUGCUGAGAUGUAAUAAAAUGAUAAUGAAAAAUUUAUUCAGAUUCAAAAAAAAUAUUUGGCCCAAACUGAUCCUGUUAAGUCAGGUGAAGGGGAAAAGAUUUAUUGUCCUCAGAAUAGAAGGAGUUAUUCACUUGCUGAUUUAUUUCAUUCCUCUCUGUGUCUUCCCUUUACCUGUAUUUUCUGAGGCUGAACGACACCAUGCUGACCAGUGAAAGCAAAAGGUUUGGCUGUGAUGGUUUUGCUGCCUUGCCUGAUUCCAGGAAUCUUUGCAGCACUGGACAGGUGGCCAUGAGGUGUCCCCUGCAGCCAGCCAGCCCUUAGGGUGUUUGAUGCAGCAGAGGGAGCUGCAGAAGUUCAGAAGGGACUAAACAGUCCAAGGCAGCAGGGAUUUUGGUGACUGGCCUUCCUAACUGUAGAGCACAACAUUUCUAAUGCAAAGAAGUCUCAUUUCCAGGGUAUGCCUAAAAGCAGCCAAGAUUUUGGGGUCUGUCUCUUCUCCAACAAGAGUAAUCACUCAUGAUACCACAUUCAUCUUAUGAGUUUUAUGACCACUCCCGGUCAUGUAACUUCAACUGUGGUGUAAAGCUGUGAAAGUCAUUUGUACAAAUUGAUCUCGGAACCACUCAGGCAAACUUUGUGUGACCUUCUGCCAACAUGACUCAUGUCUGUGCUGUGAGGGGGAAGCCCUCAGUGAAAGAGCAAACAGCGCCAGAUUUUAGCUUCUGUAUUGAGACUCUUGGGUGUUAAAAUUACAACAUUUUUGUAUCGUACAUCAGUGGUUCCUCUGCUCUGCCAUCACAUGACCAGAAGGUCAUAUGGAAAAAAAAAAUAAUAACCAAACUGUAAAAAGCUAUAAAAAUAAAGAUUUAGAGACUUGUAACAAAUACUUGAGCAAAGACAGACUGGAGAAAAUGUUUAGGGUUUUUUUAAUACAGGAGCAAAGAAAAUAAGAUUGGGCUCAUAUCUCCUACCUAUCUUUCAAUAGCAUUUGACACUUAAAUAUUGGUGUUGAUCAGAAUUUCCAUAACUGAUGGUAACAGGCAAGGUGAUUUAAUAACCCUAGGUGAGGAGAAAGUGCUAUGGCAUAAUGAGGAUUUUUAAAUAUGUAAAUAACUGUUAGAUUUAUUUUCCUGACACCUAUUAAGUGUUUUGCUAAAGUCAGACAAAUAUUUUUAUAACCAUUAAAAAACAUUUAAAAUUAAACUACUGAAUCCUCUCAUAAAAUCUUCUAAAACUCAGAUUAAACAAGUAGAAUUUCAUGAUCACAGACAUAUAGAUGUGAUUGAUGAGGUAAGAUGGUAGGUCACAGGAAGUGCAGAUCACUCAUUCAGGUUUUUCAUCUGGCAAAGCUAACAUCCUGGUCUAACAUACAGAGAAGUUUAAUGCCAGGUUUGCCCCUAGGAAGAGGUCCCAAGGUCUGGUACUGGGACAACAUUUCAGCUUGGAUAAUGAUCUAGAAUACCUUUAAAAUAGAGCUGUGAAUUUGUGUAUGAGUGCACAGAAGACACAGAUAAGUACACAUUUACUGGGUUUGAUGAAAAUAAUUUCAGCAAAAACCCUGUCUGCUAGCUGGACGAUAAAAUUUAGGUUUUUUGCUUUCCCCUGAGUAAGAAAGUAAUGCAAUUUUCCUGAAAACUGUUGUAUUAAAAUCUAAUGGGUUUAUGGUUAAGAAAACAGAAAAAGAGUCAGUUUCCUUAUGUCUUCAGUGAUUAACCUGUCCUUUGGGCCCCUGAAGACAUACUACCCGCUAAAUUCCUGAAGAUCUCAUGCUAGUAAAGUUUAGACCAUUACAUUAGGGAACACAGCAUGAGCUUACUUAAGCUAAUCAGGUCCUGAAAUGCCCAUGAACUUCCCAAAGGUACAAUGAGCACUGUUCGUCCUUAGGAUAUUGCAUGCAGCCUGCCAGCCACAUUUUCAUAAAGGUUAGGAAACAUCACUACUUGGUUGCUGUUGACUGAUUUGUGCUGAUGCUACCCUGUGGGCUCUCCUGGCAGACACCAUGCUCCUGCCCAUCUGCUCCCCUUCCCAGCCAGGUCUCCCCACCUGCCAUGGAUGGGCAGGAGGGUGGGGGAAAUGCCAGCCCCAGCUGGUUUGCAAAAAUACAGAGAGAUACUUUAAUCACUGAGCAACAACUUGCAGCAGGAGCUGCAACACAGAGAGAGAGAGUGUUAUCUCUGGUCCAUUUUUCUUGCAGUGGAUGGCAAGAACAGCAAGCCCGUUUGUGCUCAGUGACAUAUCCCCAGGGUAACUUGUCUUAACUGACUAUAUUGCUGUUAGUGGUCCCUAACUUUCUAGAAACAUUCAACAGAAAGUUUAGGGGUGGUAACAGAGGUGAAGGUGAGAUUGUACUUGCACAGCUCCUGUACAACAUAGCCUGCACUGUUUCCUGCUCUUUGAGACCAAAGAAAAUGCAGAAAGAAGAGCGUGACCAACAGAACUGAAUUGUUCAGAGCAUACUUGGAAGGAAUUACAAAGUGCACAGCCAUGUCACAGAUGCAGUCACAGGUGGAGUUUUUUGCUGAUAACAUCUCUAGAAGAUUACACUAUUUUCAGAAAUACUUAGGUACCGGAAUCUGUGAUUUGCAUCCUCAGAGGGCAGAAGGGGUUAACCACACUGGAAAGAUUACUUCAGUGUAAAACAUGAGCUCUACAGAACCUGACAGCUUCAUCUCUGUUCCUUGGCUUUAGGAACACUUCUGACUUAAUUUGAAUUUUUGGUUCACCUGACUAGCUUGAGCAGUUUUUCCUGAUGAUGAUGAUGAGGAUGAUGAUUGUUUUCCAAACCCAAACACAGCCUCAACCUUUUAUUCCUCAUCUCUUCCUCAUUAUAUUGGACCCAUUAAAAAGAACACUGCAUUAAAUAAUGUCGGAAUAAGAGAUGAGAUUUAGUCACCUGAGCACUCCUAUCAGCAAAUAACUUCAAGCAUGUUUUUAGUGCUCUACCAUUGCCAGUGUACCUAGGAGCAGUUAUGUCACUGUGUGAUUACAACACACUCUUGUGGGGAAAAAAAAAAAAA
Molecule: long non-coding RNA, 4400 nt
Filed under: Taeniopygia guttata (zebra finch)
Lineage: Eukaryota; Metazoa; Chordata; Aves; Passeriformes; Estrildidae
Description: lncRNA (ENSTGUG00000028929.1)
Source: RNAcentral